Strongylocentrotus purpuratus (purple sea urchin) is the source of this 3822-nucleotide long non-coding RNA. RefSeq lists it as uncharacterized. The record is from RefSeq and is a predicted model, not a curated record. The transcript is spliced from 2 exons. Lineage: Eukaryota; Metazoa; Echinodermata; Echinoidea; Camarodonta; Strongylocentrotidae.
UUCAAAUGUUGGCAUGUAUGUAAAUGGAUCUCUGCUCUCUUUACUGGCAUGAUGCCUAGUUGUCGAACAUUUCUUUAUUCAACGAUAACAAGAACAGAGAUAAAUCCAAUUUAAACAUAGACGGCAAAACAUAGAAGAUCAGAAAGAAAACGGAGGAGGAUGCUUCAAAUCCACUGCCCAUCCUUUGGUCUGUCUCAGUCGUUCUCUUUCUAUCAUUCUCUGAUACUCUCAUUUUUCUGUCCGUUUUAUUUUGCAAUAGGGGUGGAGCAAAUAUGAUCACCUCAUCAUACUCCUAGUUACGCAAUGGUCGUGAUUCCCCCCAAAAUAUGAAAUAAUAUGAAGAGAAAAUGUUGUUCUAAAAUAAAUACAAGCAAUGUAUGAAUUUGAUAUAGCGUCAUCUGCGUUCUGAUUGCGAACAUUCAAAAUAUCAAUAAAGUGAAAAGCUACGCUCGAAUAGAGGUGAAUGACUUCACCCUCUGGAACAAUGGAUGCGUCGAUUUGACUUCGCAACAUGGCUGGGAGGAUACUUCAAGGCGGUCGGUUGAUUGUUUACCUCUCUUAAACCACCUUGUUUUCCCCACGUGCAAUUGUGUAGCUUGUUAGGAAGUCAACGAUGGAAGAACUUGAUACCAAAUCACGGAAAUAUUUCAUUUUUAAUCAGUGAUUUGGUCUGCAGGUUUCAUCUGGAGCACUUUUGGAUCUGUCCGUCCCGUUCAAGCCUUUCAUUGACUUGGCAUCUUUUCUCGAGUUUGGCGGGGGUGAAUGGACCCUAGGCCCGCAGCUGCAGGGGCUGUGUAGGGGUGGCUAGCGCUGUGCUGGGGUUUCGUGCCUGGCUUGGUCGACUGACAUUCAAUGCAGUGUUGAGGCUAAAACGCUGCUGGAUUUUAGUGAACAAAGGACAUUUGCAGAGCGGAUUGUAAAGGAAAUUUCAAGCAAAAUGCCGCUUUCUUUUGAGAGACGUUGGAGCUUGGAUAGAAGGAAAGAUGACAAGAAAGAGGAUAAGAAGGAUGACAAAAAGGAUGAUAAGAGCAAGGAUAAGGAGAAGAAGAGCAAGAAGGAAAAGAAAAAGUACAAGACCAAAUUAGAGGUAAGUUUACAACUACAAAUCAUUUGGGAAAUUAUACCGUCUAAUCUUCAUUAUGUAAAUGAUCAAUGCUUCCUGCAUCCUGUGUCUUAAUCAUAUUCCUUUUGUAAGUAGGCCCUACAUGGAAAUAGCCCUCGUUGUAGGUCUAAUAUUGAUUACAAUUCGUUGUCGAUACUAUCAACGGAAGAACCCAUACAUUGAUAAGUAUGGCGGAUCCGUCGGUUCAUAAAACUGCUGACGAAUUGCAUGGGAGCAGUACAGACUUGAUAGCAUUCAGGCCAGUGUGUACUAGUGCAGGCUCAUCAAUGAAGCAGAUCAUGUAAAAGUGUAAUAGCUCCCUCUAGAGUGUAUGUGUAUUUAAUCACCUCUGUCAGUACUGCAUUCAAGCAGCUGAUUGGGGGUCUUUCAUCAUACUUCUGUUCUUUCAUCUGUGUAUGGGUUGUGAGAUAUGUAUUGUGGGUUCAUAUGGAUGACAGCUGACAAGCUGGGAAUAAUGUUAAAAUGAUUGAUCAUUGCAUGACAUCAAUGUUAAAGGAAAGGGAGGAUGAGAUAGAGAUAAAGUGAGAGAUAGAGAGAAAGAGAGACAGAGAUAGACAGAUAGAUAGAUAGAUUGAUUGAUAGAUAGAUAGAGUGAGAGAGAGAGAGUAUAGUUUAAACAAGUUGAGAGACAUAGAGCAAUAGAGAAAGUUAGUAAGUUAGAGAGCGAAACUAAGGGCCUUACAGAAAGUUAGAACUGAUAAAACAAGGAGACAGACAGAUUACAGACAUCUACAGGGAGACACACAGACAGAGCAGAGAUAGGAUCUGAGUGUCCUCCUUGAUGAAUGUCUAACAUUCUGGUAAAGAGAGAGUGAUGUGCUGGAAGAUAAACCACAACACCGACUACAUGACUCCCUUAGAGGCCUAACCAAGCAGACGCUAGUGAUCACCUCGUCAACAUCAGCAUCGAGCAUGAAACUUGUACAAAGUUAGGCCAAUUCACUGUUGUCGAACUAAGAAAUGAUAGAGAGAAUACAGGCUCCAGAAAUGCUGCCUACUAUUCCCAGGAUCGGUCUGCAAAUUUGUGCGCUUCAUGAAUAUAUGCAUCUGGAGUAAAUCAAAAUCACUUUCAGUAAAUGAAAUAAGUAAUGAGUUAAUUGGAGUAUUAGGAAAGUAGUGCAAUGUAUGAGCAUCGUGGUAUGUUACUCCUUAUUAAGAUGUUGAGAGUCUACAUUUAAAGGGAUUCUCUCCAUCCAUGAAUAAUUACAAAGUAGGAUUCUUUUAAUGAGAUGUACUAUGUGUUGAUGAUGGCAGCAUGAGCGGAUGCUAGCGUUACAAUUUGCAGAAUGCAAGCAUUAUUUUUUUUAAUGGUUAUAUUUGAAUAUUCAGUUAAUCAUGUUGAUUAAAGAUAUAUUAGUAUUUUUAUUAAAAUGUUCAUAUAAUCAACUUAUAAGACACUUAUAAUAACACAACAAAAUCAAUUUCAAAUUCAUUCAUCUUUUAGCAUUCUCUAUUUUCUCCAACAAUCUUUGAUAAAUCUAUAUGUUUUUGGUAAUAUGGUAGUAUAUUUUUCUUCAAAUUUGUCUUCCUCAUCAUACUGCCUAUCAUCCUUGUUUUCUCCAUCUUCUAAAGAUGAGAUAUUGCUCCAAGGUUAUUAUCCUCCUUCAUCUCUUAAUUAUAAGCCUUGAAUCCUCCUCAUUGCAAUGACCCAAAACAACAUCCAUACACCACACACUAUCCCACGGCCAGAUCUAUCCAUAUCACUCCAUGCGAGGCACGACCAUCAUAUUCAAUUGCGAGCAUAACACACAAAUGCAUGCCCGGUGAGGGGUUGCGCAUCACAUAUACCUGAUGGUGCGGUUCAAGCGGACAGGCAGAGGGAACGCCAGUAGCACUCGAGCAAGAAAUCUCCCUGUUGACUCUUAGGUGACAAUACUUGAAGAAUACUAAUGCCUGCCCAAAUAACUCUUGGAUACAUCUUGUUAUGAGUCCAAUCACUUUCCAAGCCCCGAGCUACAUGUGGAGUCAUGAACCGUAUAUAUUUGUCUGCAUUUGUGUGGACUUAGGAGGGCCCCUCCAUGUCCAGUUUCUAAGUUAUUUUGGUCAAGGAUGAUAAUUGAGCAAGUAGCUUAGAGUACAAUCUAGAAAAACAACACAUUCCUCUUCUCUCCUUACCCCCAAACUGAACUCAUAUUUUUGUACAUCAGUAUACAAUUUCUUUCUUCUGCACAUUGGUACACAUAUCUUUACUAUUUGUAUUUAUCAUCUAUUCCAAAAGUCUCAGGAGUAGAGCGUAAUUAAGCUACAUAUUUACCAGUGAAUCAUUUACAUUUCCCUAGCUAUGCUUUAGGAAAUUGUGAUUUUGAACAAACAGUUCAAGGUUAGAAGAGUACUCAUUUGCAUACCUCCUGGUGUAGAAUGAAGCUAAAGGAAAUUGUUAUUAACCGAAGAACCUAUUUGGAAAAAAUGAGGAAUGAUUUAGAGAACAAUAAUUUAGUAAUUCUGCUUUUUGACGUAAUAAGUGGUAACUGAACCCUCGACUGGCACAAACAAACAUCUUGAGCUAGCCAGCGAGCUCCAGAAGCAAUCAUACUGAGAGGGUAGAUAGCCUAUCACACACAUACAAACACACAUUACAGGGCGAUGACAUGCGUUUGUAGACCUAUAUAGAUAGAUGCUUGCUUGCAUGCAUUCUAAUGUGUGGGACUGAAGAAAGAAUACAGGAAGAGAGUAAGUAAGUGAAGGGUGGUACUAAUAAA